GGUUUGCCUUUUGUGGCUUCGAUGUGCAAACUCCCAUCACUGAAAGAUCACAGAUGAGAACCACUCAAUCAUUGGUCACGCCAUUGCAGAGAAGCUUCCUCUGUGUCUUGGUGUUUUCUACGAAAGAUUCGAACUUUGCAGAGGGUUUUAAACUUGCGAUUUUGGUUUUUGUUUCUAGGUUCUUUGAUUUUCUUGCAGGUUUCAAAAUCCAUGAAGGAGGGGAAUGGACGAAUCUGGUUCGCAUGAUGGCUUUCUGUGUCGCAACGACAUUGUGCUUCGCUGGGUUUGCGUUAAUGUUGGCAUGAUGAAGGUGGUUGUUGCGUUAAUUGGAGAUCACGAUUAGGGUUCGCUUAGUCUCGCAAUUGGGUUUUCUGGGUUAUUUCUAGGUUGCGCAAUGGUGGAAUGAAUUGGAUGAUGAUAGAGGUUGGGUUCGACUCACGGUGGUGAGGUAAUGGUCGGCGAGGAUGGUUGCGCGAGUGUGGUGGAGAAUGGCGUUUUCGCAGUGGCUGCUGGGUUUCUGCUAGAUGAAGGUGUGAGACGAUGAUUCUACGACAGCGACUUGGGUGUUGAUAUGCGUUGGAGAGGACAACUGCCGACGAGGAUGACGGUGACGG
This 614-nucleotide long non-coding RNA is filed under the name Vigna radiata. RNAcentral's name for it is "long non-coding RNA (VRAD_LNC016675)". Lineage: Eukaryota; Viridiplantae; Streptophyta; Magnoliopsida; Fabales; Fabaceae. The record is from RNAcentral.